This 490-nucleotide ribosomal RNA is filed under the name uncultured bacterium. Its description in RNAcentral is "partial 16S ribosomal RNA". It matches the Rfam family "Bacterial small subunit ribosomal RNA", at positions 29 to 507 of the family's 1533-position model. The record is from RNAcentral.
AGUGAACGCUGGCGGUAGGCCUAACACAUGCAAGUCGAACGGCAGCACAAGAGAGCUUGCUCUCUGGGUGGCGAGUGGCGGACGGGUGAGGAAUGCAUCGGAAUCUGCCCAUUUGUGGGGGAUAGCCUCGGGAAACCGGGACUAAUACCGCAUACGACCUACGGGUGAAAGCAGGGGAUCUUCGGACCUUGCGCAGAUGGAUGAGCCGAUGCCGGAUUAGCUAGUUGGAGGGGUAAAGGCCCACCAAGGCGACGAUCCGUAGCUGGUCUGAGAGGAUGAUCAGCCACACUGGGACUGAGACACGGCCCAGACUCCUACGGGAGGCAGCAGUGGGGAAUAUUGGACAAUGGGCGCAAGCCUGAUCCAGCCAUGCCGCGUGUGUGAAGAAGGCCUUCGGGUUGUAAAGCACUUUUGUUGGGAAAGAAAAGCAGCCGGUUAAUACCCGGUUGUCAUGACGGUACCCAAAGAAUAAGCACCGGCUAACUUCGUG